Nothoprocta perdicaria is the source of this 139-nucleotide small nucleolar RNA. The record is from Ensembl. Lineage: Eukaryota; Metazoa; Chordata; Aves; Tinamiformes; Tinamidae.
CGCAGCCCCGUCAAAUUCGGUGCCCGCCCGCGCCGUGGCGGGGACCGGCCAGCCGGCUGCCACAGCAACGCCGUAGUCCAUGGGCCUCGCGUGCCCCUUCCCGUGGGACGCCGGGGAUAAAACUGUGCCACGGACACGC